RNAcentral lists this ribosomal RNA (492 nucleotides) under uncultured bacterium. RNAcentral's name for it is "partial 16S ribosomal RNA". It matches the Rfam family "Bacterial small subunit ribosomal RNA", at positions 29 to 507 of the family's 1533-position model. The record is from RNAcentral.
AGUGAACGCUGGCGGUAGGCCUAGCACAUGCAAGUCGAACGGCAGCACAGUAAGAACUUGCUCUUACGGGUGGCGAGUGGCGGACGGGUGAGGAAUACAUCGGAAUCUACUUUUUCGUGGGGGAUAACGUAGGGAAACUUACGCUAAUACCGCAUACGACCUACGGGUGAAAGCAGGGGAUCUUCGGACCUUGCGCGAUUGAAUGAACCGAUGUCGGAUUAGCUAGUUGGCGGGGUAAAGGCCCACCAAGGCGACGAUCCGUAGCUGGUCUGAGAGGAUGAUCAGCCACACUGGAACUGAGACACGGUCCAGACUCCUACGGGAGGCAGCAGUGGGGAAUAUUGGACAAUGGGCGCAAGCCUGAUCCAGCCAUACCGCGUGGGUGAAGAAGGCCUUCGGGUUGUAAAGCCCUUUUGUUGGGAAAGAAAAGCAGCAGGUUAAUACCCCGCUGUUCUGACGGUACCCAAAGAAUAAGCACCGGCUAACUUCGUG